Molecule: ribosomal RNA, 922 nt
Filed under: uncultured bacterium
Lineage: Bacteria
Description: bacterial SSU rRNA
Rfam family: Bacterial small subunit ribosomal RNA
Source: RNAcentral
UGGGCGUAAAGGNUGCGUAGGCGGAUAUUUAAGUGAGAUGUGAAAUACCCGGGCUUAACUUGGGUGCUGCAUUUCAAACUGGAUAUCUAGAGUGCGGGAGAGGAGAAUGGAAUUCCUAGUGUAGCGGUGAAAUGCGUAGAGAUUAGGAAGAACACCAGUGGCGAAGGCGAUUCUCUGGACCGUAACUGACGCUGAGGCAUGAAAGCGUGGGUAGCAAACAGGAUUAGAUACCCUGGUAGUCCACGCCGUAAACGAUGAGUACUAGGUGUAGGAGGUAUCGACCCCUUCUGUGCCGCAGUUAACACAAUAAGUACUCCGCCUGGGAAGUACGAUCGCAAGAUUAAAACUCAAAGGAAUUGACGGGGGCCCGCACAAGCAGCGGAGCAUGUGGUUUAAUUCGAAGCAACGCGAAGAACCUUACCUGGACUUGACAUCCCCUGAAUAGCCUAGAGAUAGGUGAAGCCCUUCGGGGCAGGGAGACAGGUGGUGCAUGGUUGUCGUCAGCUCGUGUCGUGAGAUGUUAGGUUAAGUCCUGCAACGAGCGCAACCCCUAUCAUUAGUUGCUACCAUUAAGUUGAGCACUCUAGUGAGACUGCCCGGGUUAACCGGGAGGAAGGUGGGGAUGACGUCAAAUCAUCAUGCCCCUUAUGUCCAGGGCUACACACGUGCUACAAUGGUGGGUACAAAGAGAUGCAAGACCGCGAGGUGGAGCAAAACUCAAAAACCCAUCCCAGUUCGGAUUGUAGGCCGCAACUCGCCUACAUGAAGCCGGAGUUGCUAGUAAUCGCGAAUCAGAAUGUCGCGGUGAAUACGUUCCCGGGCCUUGUACACACCGCCCGUCACACCAUGAGAGCUGGCAACACCCGAAGUCCGUGAGGUAACCUGUAAAGGAGCCAGCGGCCGAAGUGGGGUUAGUGAUUGG